Molecule: long non-coding RNA, 1160 nt
Filed under: Gallus gallus (chicken)
Lineage: Eukaryota; Metazoa; Chordata; Aves; Galliformes; Phasianidae
Description: lncRNA (ENSGALG00010003708.1)
Source: RNAcentral
GGCAGUGAAGGGCAGUCACCGGCAUCCAGGAGAAGAAACCAAAGCAGAAGAGUGAAGAAGAUGAGGGGGACAGAGCAGUGACUGGAGCAGAAACAGGAUACGGGGAGAGAGAGAAAACAUAAGAAGCUUAGGAGGAAAAAACAUAAAAGUUAAAUAGCACAACGUUGGCUGUCCCAAACCAUUUGGGCUUAGAGCCAGCAGCCAACUCUCAGCUCUUUUAUUUGAAUAACAGACACGGGCUACAUGACUCCUAUUUCUCUCCCUUCAACUUUUUAGUGUCUUUCCCAAGGGUGCAGCAAUCACAGCCUCCUGUUACGGAUUAUUCAGCACUGUGGAAAUCAGGAGCUCUCCCUCUUCCCCUUAGGGCAAUUUUGUUUUUCACACUCAAAUGGUAUUCCCUGAGCCAGUCAAAUCCUUGACACAGUACUGACUAUCCAUCACCAACCAAUGAGAUACUGUUGUGUUUUCUUUAAUCCCUUUCAUCUGUCCCUUAAUGCAGCCAUUCAUGGGCUGGAGAAAACGUCUGCUUAACAAAGAAGAAUCCCAGGCUGGCCCAGACAAGAUCCCCUCCUAACCCAAAGCACCCACUGUCUGCAGCUGGGAGCAGAUCUGGGGCUGAAGGAGUAGAGCAGAUGCCAAGCAAGCCCUUCCUUUAAUACACACUUUCAGCAAAGAACUGCUCAGGGACUUCUCAAGCUGUAUCUUACAUCCAGGCUGUUGUGUUUAAUAAGUGCCAAUGGACAUAAGAGCCAAUUAUUCCUCUUCAAACUUGCUUAUGUUUUUCGGUCUUCACAGCACCCUGGGGCAAUGAUGCGCAGAAUGUGCGUUAGAAAUGAAUUGCUUCCCCUUUGUUUGGCUUAAAACUGCUGCCAGAUCACUGACACUGGUGCAUCAUUGUCCCCAUGUGGCCACAAGCACCAACUAUUUAUUUGGCAGUUAUAACUCAAGACUUGGGUCUGCAGAGUCGCACCCUUCUCCACUCGACUGCUUGCCAACUGCUGUUGGAUAAAGCGUGGAUGGGAGAGGGGACGCAGCGCAACUACUGAUCCCAGAAAGGAGGAUCUCCAAACCUUCCUCUGGUCAUAGAAUCAUUAAAGUUGGAAAAGACCUCCAAGAUCCCCAAGUCCAACCCAACCCACCCCACUGACCACGUCCUUCAG